GACGAACGCUGGCGGCGUGCCUAAUACAUGCAAGUAGAACGCUGAAGGAGGAGUUGCUUCUCUGGAUGAGUUGCGAACGGGUGAGUAACGCGUAGGUAACCUGCCUGGUAGCGGGGGAUAACUAUUGGAAACGAUAGCUAAUACCGCAUAAUAGUAGAUGUUGCAUGACAUUUGCUUAAAAGGUGCAAUUGCAUCACUACCAGAUGGACCUGCGUUGUAUUAGCUAGUUGGUGGGGUAACGGCUCACCAAGGCGACGAUACAUAGCCGACCUGAGAGGGUGAUCGGCCACACUGGGACUGAGACACGGCCCAGACUCCUACGGGAGGCAGCAGUAGGGAAU
This 341-nucleotide ribosomal RNA is filed under the name Streptococcus mitis. RNAcentral's name for it is "bacterial SSU rRNA". It matches the Rfam family "Bacterial small subunit ribosomal RNA", at positions 28 to 362 of the family's 1533-position model. The record is from RNAcentral. Lineage: Bacteria; Bacillati; Bacillota; Bacilli; Lactobacillales; Streptococcaceae.